This is a long non-coding RNA of Helianthus annuus (common sunflower), 1498 nucleotides long. RefSeq lists it as uncharacterized. The transcript is spliced from 2 exons. The record is from RefSeq and is a predicted model, not a curated record. Lineage: Eukaryota; Viridiplantae; Streptophyta; Magnoliopsida; Asterales; Asteraceae.
AGGACGGUUAUGGUAGCAGCGGUGACAGCCAUCCAUGGAGAAAGAUUAAGUACCUGGAGAUAUUGGUUUGGAUUUUAAAAUUGGUGGAUACGACAAAAAUGGGGGCUGCUCGAGAUUGGAUGUAUAAACCUAGGCAGUUACCCGAGUUUGAAGCUGUAGUUGUUGACUUCCUAAAUUCUUUGUUUGCUAAAGAAGAAGGAAGUAGUCAAAUGUGUUGUCCUUGUAAAAAGUGUAUGAACCAUCAUUGAUAUCGAAGAGAUGAAGUAUUUGAUCAUUUAAAAGGACAUGGACUUGUAUAAAACUACUAAGUUUGGGUUUUCCAUGGAGAAAGCCCUUCACAAAGAAGAAUUGGAACCGUCACCGACACCAAUGGAGCUAGUAUGCAUAAUAAUUUUUAUGAAUUAUUGCAUGAUAGGUUUAGAUGUACUGCUGAGAAGACAAGUACUGUACGAGAAGGCUUAAAUAAAGAUGCAAAAAAGUUCUAUAAGUUGGUUGAAGAUGGAAGUCAAGAGUUAUACCUUGGGUGUAAAAGGUUUCCAAAGCUAUCUUUCAUCAUUAGGCAUUGUCUCUACAAGAGGCUUCACAAACUUAAUAACGUGGCAUUUGAUGAUCUCUUGCUACUUUUACAAGAGAUGAUUCCAGAGGCUAAACUUGGAAAACCCUCUGGCUAGUUUUACGCAAGCUAAAAGAGUUAUAAGAGAUUUAGGGCUUGAUUAUAAGAAGAUUCAUGCAUGCCAAAAAUGAUUGUAUGAUAUAUUGGAGAGAGUAUGAACAUGUUAAGGUGGGCCACAUUUGCCACACAACUAAGUGGGAACCACUGAAUGAUAAACAAGGGGGUAAGGGUAAACAUGAUGUACAUUAUUCAAAGGUCCCUGCUAAAGUGGUGUGGCAUUUUCCUUUAAAACCGAGACUACAAAAACUUUUCAUGUGUUCAGAAACAGUUAAAUAUAUGACAUGGCAUGAUAGUGGGCGCCCAAAGGAUGGAUAUAUAUGACAUCCUGUAGAUGGGCAAACCUGGAAGGAAUUUUAUUCUCUGUAUCCUCAUUUUGCUAAAGAAAUGAGAAAUAUGAGGUUUGUCAAGUGAUGGAUUUAAUCUAUUUCGAACAAUGACCGUUGCUCAUAGCACUUGGCAUGUGGUAUUGAUUAACUACGAUUUGCCGCCAUGGGUGUCUUUGAAACCAGAAUACUUUAUGUUGUCUCUGUUAAUUCCUAGACCUAAAUCACUAGGUAAUAUUAAAGAUUACUAAUUUACUAAAGCUACAUCGAGUAAAUACACCAAAUGUCUCCCAAAAGGUUCCAUCGGGUUCAAAUGCAACAAGAGCAACUCACCUACGAGCUAUAGUUACCAUGGGUCAACUAAUAUGGGGUAAUACAAGAGGAGCAAUUAGAAGAAUGGUUCUUGUUGUUGAGGAUAAUUACGAGGAUGAUAAGAUGAUUCAAAGUAUUAUUUUUUGUUAAUCUCAAAGUAUUUUUAAAUAUAUUUUCCUUUUGAUAUUAA